GGGGAUGAUCCGGUUUCGACGGGGGUAACAGAGGUAGGAUAAGCGAGCCGCAGACCCUGUACUGCGUAUCAACGGGGAAAAACAAUAACUGACAAUAGCAAUUACGCUUUCGCGGCUUAAUGCCGCGCGUCGGCCCUGACCGCCUGCAGAUCAGGUUCCCGGCGUCAUUAAUGCAGGGAACGAGUUUCGCCUAAGCUUUGCAGCGGAAUCCGUAAUCAUGAAGCUACUCUGAAUAAUGUUUUUCCGCGGACAUCAUCCAGGGGAAAAUCAACCACGGAAUGCGCUCGGAGAAAGUCCUUCUGAAGUACUUUCGGACAGGGGUUCAACUCCCCUCAUCUCCACAU
Non-coding RNA from Clostridiales bacterium, 344 nucleotides. The record is from Rfam. NCBI's taxonomy places the organism in Bacteria, Bacillati, Bacillota, Clostridia, Eubacteriales.